ACCGCCUUUUGUCCUAUUUCCUAUUCCUAUUAAUUUAUUUAAUUGGUUUGCAAAACCGGGUAUUAAUUGUUACUUGUAUAAGCUGUAACACUUUUCUAUUCGUUCAAACACAAAAUGGGUUUGUUUGUUUGUUUGUUACGCUAUGAACUGAUCAUCAUGACAUUUGCACGUUGUCAAGGGCACAAAAAAGACCACAAACCUUUUAUCCAGAAAAAAUAUUAUUCCCGAAGGACAUCAUUCUAUUUCUACAUGAAUGUCCCAUGGAUGCAGACAGCGGAUGACUAGUCGUUGUGGUGCGGCUUGAGGGGCUUUCAGCACUAAUCCCGAAAGUAUCGAAAUUUAAUUCGACGUUGAUCUGAAAGAAAAAAAAAAACGUAAAUCCCCAAAUGAAAUAUUACGUGAAACAGAAAGCAAUCGCGCGGAGCGACAUUAAGAAUAAGACGUGUAGACGACGAGCAGGAGCAGUGCAAGUUCGAAAAAAGGCCCCGAGGCCGCGAUAUUGGCGCUCGUUGACAUAUUUACGGCCUCCUCGACUAUUAAGUGGUGAUUUACUAUACGCAUAUCUGGAUGGAUACGUUUUUAUCGGCGGCUAUAUAUCCAGUUGGCUUCUCGGUCUAUUAUGGGUUUUGUGCUCAGCUCGGGGCGCGCGUGAUACGUUUGUCUGCUUUAUGUACUGACUUUAGGAAGUUGAUUUUUUUUAAAUCUUGUAUUAUUGCU
This is a long non-coding RNA of Bombyx mori (domestic silkworm), 717 nucleotides long. RefSeq lists it as uncharacterized. The transcript is spliced from 2 exons. The record is from RefSeq and is a predicted model, not a curated record. Lineage: Eukaryota; Metazoa; Arthropoda; Insecta; Lepidoptera; Bombycidae.